Molecule: unclassified non-coding RNA, 253 nt
Filed under: uncultured Bacillaceae bacterium
Lineage: Bacteria; Bacillati; Bacillota; Bacilli; Caryophanales; Bacillaceae
Description: contains 16S-23S intergenic spacer region
Rfam family: Bacterial small subunit ribosomal RNA
Source: RNAcentral
UACGUAGGUGGCAAGCGUUGUCCGGAAUUAUUGGGCGUAAAGCGCGCGCAGGCGGUCUGUUAAGUCUGAUGUGAAAGCCCACGGCUCAACCGUGGAGGGGCAUUGGAAACUGGGAGACUUGAGUGCUGUAGAGGAGAGUGGAAUUCCAGGUGUAGCGGUGAAAUGCGUAGAUAUGUGGAGGAACACCAGUGGCGAAGGCGGCUCUCUGGGCUGUAACUGACGCUGAGGCGCGAAAGCGUGGGGAGCAAACAGG